This 1402-nucleotide ribosomal RNA is filed under the name Erwinia billingiae. RNAcentral describes it as "bacterial SSU rRNA". The record is from RNAcentral. Lineage: Bacteria; Pseudomonadati; Pseudomonadota; Gammaproteobacteria; Enterobacterales; Erwiniaceae.
UGCAAGUCGAACGGUAGCACAGAGAGCUUGCUCUUGGGUGACGAGUGGCGGACGGGUGAGUAAUGUCUGGGAAACUGCCUGAUGGAGGGGGAUAACUACUGGAAACGGUAGCUAAUACCGCAUAACGUCUUCGGACCAAAGUGGGGGACCUUCGGGCCUCACACCAUCGGAUGUGCCCAGAUGGGAUUAGCUAGUAGGUGGGGUAAUGGCUCACCUAGGCGACGAUCCCUAGCUGGUCUGAGAGGAUGACCAGCCACACUGGAACUGAGACACGGUCCAGACUCCUACGGGAGGCAGCAGUGGGGAAUAUUGCACAAUGGGCGCAAGCCUGAUGCAGCCAUGCCGCGUGUAUGAAGAAGGCCUUCGGGUUGUAAAGUACUUUCAGCGGGGAGGAAGGCGAUAAGGUUAAUWACCCUUGUCGAUUGGACGUUAACCCGCAGAAGAAGCCACCGGCUAACUGCCGUGCCAGCAGACCGCGGUAAUACGGAGGGUGCAAGCGUUAAUCGGAAUUACUGGGCGUAAAGCGCACGCAGGCGGUCUGUCAAGUCAGAUGUGAAAUCCCCGGGCUUAACCUGGGAACUGCAUUUGAAACUGGCAGGCUAGAGUCUUGUAGAGGGGGGUAGAAUUCCAGGUGUAGCGGUGAAAUGCGUAGAGAUCUGGAGGAAUACCGGUGGCGAAKGCGGCCCCCUGGACAAAGACUGACGCUCAGGUGCGAAAGCGUGGGGAGCAAACAGGAUUAGAUACCCUGGUAGUCCACGCCGUAAACGAUGUCGACUUGGAGGUUGUGCCCUUGAGGCGUGGCUUCCGGAGCUAACGCGUUAAGUCGACCGCCUGGGGAGUACGGCCGCAAGGUUAAAACUCAAAUGAAUUGACGGGGGCCCGCACAAGCGGUGGAGCAUGUGGUUUAAUUCGAUGCAACGCGAAGAACCUUACCUGGCCUUGACAUCCACGGAAUUCGGCAGAGAUGCCUUAGUGCCUUCGGGAACCGUGAGACAGGUGCUGCAUGGCUGUCGUCAGCUCGUGUUGUGAAAUGUUGGGUUAAGUCCCGCAACGAGCGCAACCCUUAUCCUUUGUUGCCAGCGAGUAAUGUCGGGAACUCAAAGGAGACUGCCGGUGACAAACCGGAGGAAGGUGGGGAUGACGUCAAGUCAUCAUGGCCCUUACGGCCAGGGCUACACACGUGCUACAAUGGCGCAUACAAAGAGAAGCGAACUCGCGAGAGCAAGCGGACCUCACAAAGUGCGUCGUAGUCCGGAUCGGAGUCUGCAACUCGACUCCGUGAAGUCGGAAUCGCUAGUAAUCGUAGAUCAGAAUGCUACGGUGAAUACGUUCCCGGGCCUUGUACACACCGCCCGUCACACCAUGGGAGUGGGUUGCAAAAGAAGUAGGUAGCUUAACCUUC